Molecule: ribosomal RNA, 396 nt
Filed under: uncultured bacterium
Lineage: Bacteria
Description: bacterial SSU rRNA
Rfam family: Bacterial small subunit ribosomal RNA
Source: RNAcentral
CUCGGAAGAUUGCAGAGAUGCGAUUGUGCCUUCGGGAACCGUAAGACAGGUGCUGCAUGGCUGUCGUCAGCUCGUGUUGUGAAAUGUUGGGUUAAGUCCCGCAACGAGCGCAACCCUUAUCCUUAGUUGCCAGCACGUAAUGGUGGGAACUCUAGGGAGACUGCCGGUGAUAAACCGGAGGAAGGUGGGGACGACGUCAAGUCAUCAUGGCCCUUACGAGUAGGGCUACACACGUGCUACAAUGGUAUGUACAGAGGGAGGCAAGCUGGCGACAGUGAGCGGAUCUCAUAAAGCAUAUCGUAGUCCGGAUUGGAGUCUGCAACUCGACUCCAUGAAGUCGGAAUCGCUAGUAAUCGUGAAUCAGAAUGUCACGGUGAAUACGUUCCCGGGUCUUGU